This 8614-nucleotide long non-coding RNA is filed under the name Sorghum bicolor (sorghum). RNAcentral's name for it is "long non-coding RNA (SBIC_LNC000232)". Lineage: Eukaryota; Viridiplantae; Streptophyta; Magnoliopsida; Poales; Poaceae. The record is from RNAcentral.
GGGGUGCGAGGUCGCUACCAGAGUCAAUGGCAGUGCUGGCCAGGCUGUUUUUACACCAAAGUCCUUUAUGUUUAUGGUUUUGUAAAUCCAAUGUGAUCAGUAUAUUGCUUAGGCCUUGUUUAGAUUUUUUUUUGGAUUUUGAUACUGUAGUAUUUUCUUUAGUAAUUAUUAUCUAAUCGUAGACUAACUAAGUUUAAAAGAUUCAUGUCGUAAAUUACAGGCAAACUAUAUAAUUAGUUAUUUUUUAUUUAUAUUUAAUGCUUCAUGCAUAUACCACAAGAUGAGAAAUCUUAAAAAGUUUUUUGAUUUUGGGGUGAACUAACUGGGCCCUAUUUAUUUAUUGCACUGAUAAACUUGAAUUACACAAAGUCCCAAAAGAUUGCACUCAGUAGAUAUUCCAGUGCACACAAUUGCAUACAACCAGGAUAGACCCGGGGCCCGACGACCGCUGCGACCCUGAAUCUAACAAGCGUGGGGAAGUAGUGAAGGACAUUGCACGUCUACACCACAACUGCGUCUCAUGUCUAUAUAACUUUUAUUAGUAGGCUUUACUAAAUCAAUCACUCGAUUUGCUACUUCUUAAGUCUCACAGAGUGAUAGGCAUAUGGUAGAAACUUAUAGACUUGUUUGUUUUCCAGCUGACAACAUUUUUUUAAAAAAUGCUUUGUUUAUAUAAGGUUGAUAUUCCAACAUAUUUGCUUCAUCUUGUUAAGACUAAGGAAACCUUAGCACAAACUUUUGAGUUAUUGACGUGUUCAUGAUGUAAUUCACAUGAGUGGUCAAUAUAUUUAUGUAAACUUAAUUAUUCACCAUUGUUAUAUUCGCCUAGGCUCUAGAAAAUUUCUAGGUCCGUCACUGCAUGGAACACUUUGUGCCUAACUAAUACAAAGGACAUCAAGACCUAGAGGUAAUAUUGGAUGCUUCUAGGAAAUAUGAUUCUCAAACAUGUACAGACUCAUUAAGUUUACUUCAUAUAUCCAUUAAUACAAUGUAUAUUCUAAGGUGCUAUGACUAUUUUGUUUCGAGGAAAUUUGGUCUUAAUUGACCUUUCGAGUUACUUUUUUGGUCUUUUCUUAAUUUGGGUAUUUAGAAAUUUAGAGUAAAAAUUAGCAUAGAGAAUGCAUCUCACUACAAACUCUGCCACACAUCAUCUGUUAGGGUGUUAUGGUGCUUACACCAAACACUAACACAUCACCAUUUGUUAAGCCAUUGUUUUGUUUUAUUGGUUGGUUGUUCAAACUUGAUACAAUCCUAUGGCCUAUUGUCUCACGUGAAUUUGCUUAGGAAUUAUUAGAUAAAGAAUUUUACUUGAAAUCCCAUAGUUUCUUCUACAAGACCAAAUAUUUUUGUAGAGAACUGAUAAAUAGACACAUUUGUUUGUAUAUAACUUUGUCUAAAAAUGGUUUUGGUUUUAUAACAGUUUGUAUGGUUGAUCUAUACUCUGUCUAACUCAACUAGUUAUUUCUAUCUUUAUUCCCUUCUGCAGAUUCAUAUCUUUGUAUAAUUGAAGAUUUUAUUAACAUAUUCAAGAACAAAUAUUAAGUUGAUACAAAGUCUUCGGAGGAAAACUUGAUCUGUGCACGUCCCAUAAAUUGCUCAAGUAAAACUAGUUUGCCAAGAGAUCAUGGCCUGCACUUCUCUAAAAAAGUAUCAUCUUCUAGUGAUACUCAGUGCUUGAUAAACCCCAAGCUCACUGGGCUGAAGUUAGUGUAGAUUAAAGUGGGCCAUGGCCCUCCUAACCUAGAAAUUUUAUUAAAAAAACACUGGAUUCCACCACUUAAGUGCUGAUGAAUGGAUAAUCUAGCCCUCUCUAUUGGUAACUCAAGUUUGAUUGGCCCCCUCUCAGUUUUGCUUUAAGCUUCCGUGAGUUAUUUUUUGCUUUAAGAUCCUAAAUGACUCACGGAAGCUUGCAAAAUAUAUGCCGGUGCAAAACUGCAGAUAGAGUAAGCAAAACAUUUAAAACGAAAAUAGAACAGUUGUUUCUUCUAACUCGCAUUCACGGGAUGUAAACAUGCAUUGACAGUCACCCAAAAUAACAUGCAUUGACACUCACCCAAAAUAGUUGAGUAUUGUCCCUUGGUACAAAAAUAAAGUAAUUUAGCAAUUAAUCUAAUGAUACUUAUUAUAUGCACUAUAUAUAUAUAUAUAUUUGGUCAAAGUUAAAACUGUUUAACUUCUUACAAAGUAAGAAUGACACUUUUUGCGUGAUGGAGAGAGUAUAUGAGUAUGUGUAUAGAAUGGAGUUCAAACUAUUUGUACUAGGAAAAGAUUGUUGUUAAUUCAGUACCAGUUUUGAGUCCAAUUUGGUCACAGUGACAAUGCAACAGCACAAUAGGUCUCGAGGUGUUUAGUGCAAAAGAAAAAGGUUGACGGUUGACGCACCGGUACGCCAAAAGAGACAUGAGGUGCACUAUAAUUCGGAGCGAGUAAACGUGUUGCUCUCAAUUAAUUUAUUAGGUCAGUCACUAUUGCUUAGUGUUUACGGCCUCUUCUUCUUUUGUUUGGCGUAGUUGCACUAGAAAAAAAAACAUAAAUAAAAGGAUAAGAAAGAAGAAAGAAUGACAUGUUUUCACUAAGAAUGUCAUGUUCUGUGAUACUACAGUAAUCACCAUUCCUCGCUAAAACAUUCCAUCGUAGCAAGCCAUGUUAAUUUACAGAAUACAGUAACCGCCAGUUAAAACCCCUCAUUCUGUGCCUUACACCAUCCUGUUCGUUCACAACAAAUCAGCAGACAGUACUUUCAGCCAUGACUUAUAACUGCUGUCAUUAGUCAGCAUCACCGUCACUGCGUACUCUGAGACAAAGAUGGGCUUUCACAGGCUUGUGGUCGGAGCUCCGAACACAGUCGAGGGACUCAUAUGAGCUCAAGACUGCAUCCAAGCCUGAAGAAUGGCCAACCUUGAACAAUAUCCUGUCUGUCCAAGAAGGCACCCUUAUCUGCACAAGUGAAGAUCACAAAUUUACAAACACAAAACGUCAGGUUUGAGAAGCUUCCAUAGGUUCAUAUUCAUAUCUGCAAGUGAUGUUCGUUCAGUCAAGAUACCUUAGAGCUUGUGUCGUAGAUGCUACUCCCGACAUCAUAUUUGUACGUUGGCUUAAACGACAGGGUCCCUUCGCAGUACCCGUUGAACACUUCGCCCUUUUCAGCUUCUUGCAGAAGCUGGUCUUUGCCUCUUAGCUUCUGAUGAAAGAACAAAAUAAUUAGAAAAACAUGAGACACUGAUUACAGUACAAAAAUAGUGACCUGAUGUCAACAAGCACUUACACUCUGACGGUUCUCCUCAAUCAUCUUCCGUGCAGGCAUCGAGCUUAUUCCUUCGAGUCUAUAAUUGAGAUCGCCGAGCCACACUGUUAUGUCGGCAGAUUGGGCGUAUGGUGUGCCAUACUUGGAGAAGAGCGACUGUGAAAUAUGCUGGAAUUCUGAGUUCCUCUUCUCCACCUUGUGUUCAUGUGCUGCACUUCAGUUACAUACAUCUUGUUACUUCGAAAUGGCACUUGGUUAAAGUUAACGGCUAUAUCAACGCUACAAGUGACACUGAUAGAUGAAAGUAUAAACCGAUGAUUGAAAAUUAACCUGCAAGAUGACAGGACACAAAAACCAUCCGGAUCCCACUGAAGUUGAUGUACAUGGCCACUGCUCCUUUCUUUCUCCCAAUGAUACCACCGCAACCUCCAACCGCAUGUUUGUCCACCUUCAUCUCUAUCCAAAAUGAAGAAAUGAACAGAUUAAUUUGACUGACGAAGAAAGAUGCAGUUGGAACUAUAAGCAAUCAAGAAAAUUUGGGAUAAUAAAUAAACAGAUAUAAAAGGAUAAACAAGGUUCACAGUCACCUCUGAUGUACUUCUCCGAACUCCUUGAACCGAAAAGAAGCAUCUGAAGAGACUGCAUGCUCUUCUGACCCAAUAGCCUGAAAUUUCAAGGGCAUCAAACUUUUUCAGAAUAUUGUGAAAAGCUCUGAGAUGUUCAAUGGAGAAGACGAGAGUAGAGAUGUAGUCCUUACACGUGCGUCUCGGCCAACGCCUCCUGCAGAACUUGUGAAACAUCUGAUUUUGGGGCUUCCUGCAGCCCAACAACUAGCAAAUCGAACUUUCUGUUGGAGCUCACCAAUUUCGUUACAUCUUCCACAGACAUCUUCACCAACAGAACACAUAUCAAGUCAAUGUAAACUGCAUUAAAAAAAGUCAUUGUAAAUGGCUUAAUUAUCAUCGAAGGGAAAUGGAUGGAGUCACAAAUAUAUGUACCUUGCUAUUCAUGUUCCAUGUGACGAUGCAAAUGCAGAGCACAGAGUUGGUGGUGAAUUCACAGACUUUCUGAACUGGAAUUGUCUUUAUUCCUUCAUGAGUUCCAUCCUCAUCAAUCGAAACCAUGCCAUUAUUGAGUAGCUUGCUUCCCCUGCGUUGUUUAUGCGUGUAUCAAUGAUGAAAUGCAAAAGAAUCAUACCAAUUGAAAAGAAAAGGUUACAAAGUUUAGAGAUGAGAUACCAUUUUGGAAGAGUAAAGCUGCUGCAGUUGCCCAUGCCGACUCACUGAAACUGAACCCUUGUUUCUGAUCAUCUAACAUGGAGAAGAUAACAAAGGAGCCCUUUUUAUACAACUGCAUUCUGAAAGGUCAAGGGUUCCAGCAACAAGGAGAACCAAUCUGAUUUGGAUAUGGAUACUAUUGGCCUCCAAUUUUCUUUCAGCGUUCAUUUGUAUCUUCCAUGUGCUCUAAAAAAAAAAUUUCAACGCGUUACGAAACAGCGACAAGUGGAACACCCAAGAACCAACCAUUUGGGCCAGCUGGAUUUGAUAGUUAGGUACGGAGUACUGCAUAUCUUUGAUGUGACAAUGACUGAGAUCUCAUUUGUCUUCCCAUCAGUUCCCAUCUUUAGAAGGCGGCUACAGCAGUCCAUGUAUUAUGGGGAAUGUGAAAGAGACUGCAUAGAGGAAUAGGACCGCGAACUUGCUCUAUCUGUAGUUUGGCACGUUUAAUUUAGUGAUGAAGUGAUGACAGGGCAAUGCAACAUUUCCUGAGCAAGUAGCCUUCCUUUGCUGGAGUUGUAAUGGAGAAGUUCCACUCAGGAACAUGCUGGACCUUCCUGAAGUUUCGCACAUCCACAAAAUUCAACAACUAGGUGAUGACCUUUGUAAAUCGUAUGUACUCUUAACAGUUAAAUAAUGAACUGCAACACUGUAAGUGACAUCUUCUCUACACUUAACAUUUUGAUACCGGUGCAGCGCGCUGUUAGGUCACUAACCUGUGCCAGAUGGACGGAAUUGCAAUCUGCAUCAUCUUUUCAAUACAGAAUCUCCACCAAUUCGUAGAAUUCAAUCAUUCAAGAAGCCCAAUAUACCUUGAGAAGAUCCUUCCAAAUCCCAAUGCCAACGAAAUCGUAUUGUGGUGUGGCAACGGGGGAGUGCCAGGAUGGCAUCAGGCCACAUGGCAAUUGGCAAACCGCAGGGCCGGCUGGCCGGCUCCAACCUCCGGAAAAUCUGCCACAUGCUGCAUGUGCAUGCGUAGCUCAAAGUCUGAAACGGUUCACCCCGUUGAAUUUGCAAACAAAAAAAGAAGAAGCGAGCAGUAGACUCACCGGGGCGGGGAACUCCUCCUUUCACCGAAUUUUUUACUAGAAAAAAGUCAAGUUUUUAUAACGAUUUACAAAUGAUUAAGUUAAAUUAGAUGCAAAAUUAGUGCAUAAAAGAUGCACCAGUAGAUCUAUACUCAAGGUAUCCUUAAGGUUGUGAGGAUAUGUAUUUUUGCAAUUUAUGAAAAACUAGCAAAUAUACUCGUGCGUUGCAACGGGAGAAAAAAGUAUCAUAAAAAAAUACUUUAUAUUUAUUUUUCUUGACAUAUAUUGGGCUGUUAUUUAUGAUCUCGUAAAGAACAUGGUUCUUUUCUUGGCAUAGCUUUUAGAGUUCUUUUUCAUCUUGAUUUUUUUCUUUUAUCUGGAAUCUUUUCUCUCCCGUUGUUUCCUGCUUUGCAAGUUUUUGUUGCUUAACAUUUUUAAUUGACUCGUUGUAUUGCACUUAUUAUUGUCGAUUUGGAUUCCAUCUGCAAUUGCUUGGUACCCAAAGAGGAAAUAUAAUACGGACCCAUGAUGUCCUGUUAUAUUAGAGAGAGAUUUUGUCUUGUGGUUUACAGAUUGGACUCUUCUCGUUUUUGCUGUCUUCUAAGUCAUGUUGCUUUUAUGUUAAUACUCUAUAUUUCGGUGGAGAUUUUGGAAGGCAGGAGCGACAAGGACUCUGGUUGUUAGAGUGCGAUUCCAUCAUGGUUUCGAUUUUGUUGGAUUUUUUUCCUUCUUUCUUCCCUCUACUGUUCGAACAUGGCUCGGACAUGGUGACGGAAGAAAUGUAUUGGCAAACUGAAAUUUUAGCUCUUUAUAGAUACUAGUAAAUGUGCCCGUGCGUUGCUACGGUGAACGCCAAAUUAUUCAUUUAAUAUUUAUAUUUUUCAACAUUUUAUAUAACAAUUAAAAUUGUAAUAGCUUGUUUUACACUUAUCUAGAUGAUUUAUAUCUCCAAUGAUCGUGUGUUCUGAUAUGUCUUGGACACAUGUUGUAGCUCGAGAGAAUACAUGUCAUAAGGCCAGUCUCAAUGGAUGUUUCAUUAGAGUUUCACGCACAUUAAAUAUUGUAAUAUGCACUAUAUUAAUAAAGAGAGAUGAUAAAAGUUUCAUGUAAGUAGAGAGAGUUUCAUUCCAAUAAAACUCUUCUGUACUGUUUUUAAAAAAAUAGAUAUAUAGAAAACUGGGUCAUGAAACCCCCAUUGAAGAUGGCCCUAGCUCCAAGUUAUUUAUGAGACAUGAAGAACCAUAAGGCAUUGUAGGAAGAAAAAACAAAGGUAAUUAGAAAAUAUUAUUUUUAAUUUAAUAUUAAACAAAGAUAGCACAACGCCUUGAUAUGAUUUUAGUUGGUUUAUAAAAAAAUUAUGCAGUUAAUAAAAUAGGUCUUAGAACUUUAAUUUUGUUUAAGCCAAAAAAUAGCCAAUUUCAUGCAAUGAAAUAUAAAUAAUUAUAAUUAGGUUUUAUAGGUGGGACCUUGCUCGUGUCUUAGCAUCUCCCCUCACAUCCAUGCUCGUCCACACAUUGGCCUUGCUCAUGUUAUCGUUGUCUUCCUGUGCCGCAUUGUUGUGGCAUUGUUGCCGUGUCUCGCCCACAAUGCCCUCUCCUCUAAAGAUGGCAGCAGACUCCGAUCUCCGGUUCUCCGUGGAGAAUUCUCUUAUUAGAGAACGGAGAUGAGAUCAAUUUACUCUAAAUGGGGAUUUAAUAAGUAAAAAAAUAGUUUCCGUCGGGUCUAGUGCGUACGGGGAUGGGAUUUGUUCUCCUGUCCUCGAUCCCCAUAAACCUGGUCGGCUAAGAAUACACUGUUUCGCAAGUAUAAGAUCCACAUCAAUUCGGCCCAUCUAAAGGCCCAUCUGUGGCUUCAGUAUAUAUAGAAACCUGUAACCUAAUUCCUCAGUUCUCGAAUCCCCCAGCCCCAGCCACUCUCGCAACCACCGGAGUCCUAGGCGCAGAUGUCGGCCGCUGCCUGGGCGCGAUUCACGCCGUCACGCGUCCUCAUCCGAAGCUUCUCCGCCCUCCCUUGCUUGCAGCAUACCGGAACCCCCCACAGCCAAGCAUCGCUAGUCACCAGUGACCACCGUGGCACUACUGCUGCCUGAUUACCUCGAUGUGAAGAAAGAUAGAAAUUGCCGUGUUGCUUGACUUCGUCUCCUUUUUCUCAGCCUGCCAGUGGACAACAGAGGCGCAUCUUGCCUUUUUUUUUUGCAUCUAUUGUCUCAUCCUAACACAAGCACUUGUAGAUUUUAUUUUUGAUUUGUUUGCGGUGAUUUCUAAAACUAAACGAUUCUAUUUCAUGUUGGUGCAAGAUGCGUUUGUGAUAAAUAUUUCCUUUUCUAGAUUGAUGAUCUGAGUAAAUUUUUUCUAACUUAUAUUGCAGGGAUGGGGAUCCCAUCGGGGAUGGAUUCCCCGCUCGGGUUUGGGGAUGGACUUUGUAAUAUAUGGUUUUUGGUUUAGUUCGUUGCUAGGUCUGAAAUCUGGAUUCGGUUUAGAGCUCUUUUUUAACUCGAUUAGGAUCUUUGGCUGAUUUGUUCUUUCCUUCUCGUCCCCGUCCAAGCCCUCCACCUCGGCUGCCGCCGACCACUCCGACUCCGCCGACGACUCCGACGAGCAGUCUGGAUUUGGAUUUGGAUGGAUUUGCAUAUUUUGAUUCAAUCUCGAUUUGGUUUUUUGCCUUACAUGUAGAUUGCAAAUUUGGAAAAAAAAACCUUCAUUAUAGAUUUGAGUUACCAGAGGAAGUCUUGUUACCUUCGGAGUGGGAGAUUGUUACGGAAGUGGGGAGAAGCCAGACGAAAAUUCCGUCCAGACGAAAUUUUUGGCUGAAAAUAUAUAUAUAUAUAUAGAGGUAUAGAUUAUCAAAAUCUACCGAAAGCUGUAUAGAGGUGUAUAUUCAUUCCUAACAACUCUGCUUGGGACACGUGAAUUUCAAACAAUUUAUACAGGAAUUUUCUAGGAAUCAAUUCAAUUUCAUAAUAAAAAAAAUGCAUGAAAGAAAAAAAAUCCACGUGUUCGCUGUGGCUGUUCGGAUCGUAGGAUUACUUAUUAUGAGUAUUUAGAAAAGAUUGGCUUUAAGUUACC